Molecule: ribosomal RNA, 131 nt
Filed under: Microcebus murinus (gray mouse lemur)
Lineage: Eukaryota; Metazoa; Chordata; Mammalia; Primates; Cheirogaleidae
Source: RNAcentral
GUAUAUGUCCAUACCACCCUGAAUGCGCCCAAUCUUGUCUGAUCUCAGAAGCUAAGCAGGAUCAGGCCUAGUUAGAACUUGGACAGGAGAAGGAACCCUUCUCAGAGUCAGAAAAGCUGCUGUUGUUUCUA